Molecule: ribosomal RNA, 271 nt
Filed under: uncultured archaeon
Lineage: Archaea
Description: partial 16S ribosomal RNA
Rfam family: Archaeal small subunit ribosomal RNA
Source: RNAcentral
CAGCGCCACGAGUGGCGAUCGCGUUUAUUGGGCCUAAAGCGUUCGUAGCCGGUUUGGUAAAUCUUUUGUGAAAUCGUCAGGCUUAACUUGACGGCUGGCAGAAGACACUGCCAAACUUGGGACCGGGAGGAGUCAGAAGUAUUCCGGGGGGACCGGUAAAAUGGUAUAAUCCCCGGAGGACUACCGAUGGCGAAGGCAUCUGACUAGAACGGAUCCGACGGUGAGGGACGAAAGCCAGGGGAGCAAACCGGAUUAGAUACCCGAGUAGUCC